RNAcentral lists this ribosomal RNA (468 nucleotides) under uncultured bacterium. RNAcentral's name for it is "partial 16S ribosomal RNA". It matches the Rfam family "Bacterial small subunit ribosomal RNA", at positions 28 to 507 of the family's 1533-position model. The record is from RNAcentral.
GACGAACGCUGGCGGCGUGCUUAACACAUGCAAGUCGAACGGAAAGGCCCUGCUUUUGUGGGGUGCUCGAGUGGCGAACGGGUGAGUAACACGUGAGUAACCUGCCCUUGACUUUGGGAUAACUUCAGGAAACUGGGGCUAAUACCGGAUAGGAUCUCCUGCUGCAUGGUGGGGGUUGGAAAGUUUCGGCGGUUGGGGAUGGACUCGCGGCUUAUCAGCUUGUUGGUGGGGUAGUGGCUUACCAAGGCUUUGACGGGUAGCCGGCCUGAGAGGGUGACCGGCGACAUGGGGACUGAGAUACGGCCCAGACUCCUACGGGAGGCAGCAGUGGGGAAUAUUGCACAAUGGGCGGAAGCCUGAUGCAGCAACGCCGCGUGCGGGAUGACGGCCUUCGGGUUGUAAACCGCUUUCGCCUGUGACGAAGCGUGAGUGACGGUAAUGGGUAAAGAAGCACCGGCUAACUACGUG